AGUGAACGCUGGCGGUAGGCCUAACACAUGCAAGUCGAACGGCAGCACAGUAAGAGUUUGCUCUUACGGGUGGCGAGUGGCGGACGGGUGAGGAAUAUAUCGGAAUCUACUUUUUCGUGGGGGAUCACGUAGGGAAACUUACGCUAAUACCGCAUACGACCUACGGGUGAAAGCAGGGGAUCUUCGGACCUUGCGCGAUUGAAUGCGCCGAUGUCGGAUUAGCUAGUUGGCGGGGUAAAGGCCCACCAAGGCGACGAUCCGUAGCUGGUCUGAGAGGAUGAUCAGCCACACUGGAACUGAGACACGGUCUAGACUCCUACGGGAGGCAGCAGUGGGGAAUAUUGGACAAUGGGCGCAAGCCUGAUCCAGCCAUACCGCGUGUGUGAAGAAGGCCUUCGGGUUGUAAAGCCCUUUUGUUGGGAAAGAAAAGCAUCAGGUUAAUACCCCGCUGUUCUGACGGUACCCAAAGAAUAAGCACCGGCUAACUUCGUG
This 492-nucleotide ribosomal RNA is filed under the name uncultured bacterium. RNAcentral's name for it is "partial 16S ribosomal RNA". It matches the Rfam family "Bacterial small subunit ribosomal RNA", at positions 29 to 507 of the family's 1533-position model. The record is from RNAcentral.